AACGUAGGUGACGAGCGUUAUCCGGAUUCAUUGGGCGUAAAGAGCGUGUAGGCGGCCAGGUAGGUCGGUUGUGAAAACUGGAGGCUCAACCUUCAGACGUCGACCGAAACCAUCUGGCUAGAGUCCGGGAGAGGAGAGUGGAAUUCCUGGUGUAGCGGUGAAAUGCGCAGAUAUCAGGAAGAACACCCGUGGCGAAAGCGGCUCUCUGGAACGAUACUGACGCUGAGACGCGAAAGCGUGGGGAGCGAACAGG
RNAcentral lists this ribosomal RNA (253 nucleotides) under uncultured bacterium. RNAcentral's name for it is "partial 16S ribosomal RNA". It matches the Rfam family "Bacterial small subunit ribosomal RNA", at positions 524 to 776 of the family's 1533-position model. The record is from RNAcentral.